Molecule: ribosomal RNA, 355 nt
Filed under: uncultured bacterium
Lineage: Bacteria
Description: partial 16S ribosomal RNA
Rfam family: Bacterial small subunit ribosomal RNA
Source: RNAcentral
CCUACGGGGUGCUGCAGUGGGGAAUAUUGGGCAAUGGGCGCAAGCCUGACCCAGCAACGCCGCGUGAAGGAAGAAGGCUUUCGGGUUGUAAACUUCUUUUCUCAGGGACGAAGCAAGUGACGGUACCUGAGGAAUAAGCCACGGCUAACUACGGGCCAGCAGCCGCGGUAAUACGUAGGUGGCAAGCGUUAUCCGGAUUUACUGGGUGUAAAGGGCGUGUAGGCGGGACGGCAAGUCAGAUGUGAAAACCACGGGCUCCCCCUGUGGCCUGCAUUUGAAACGGUAGUUCUUGAGUACCGGAGAGCUCAUCGGAAUUCCUUGUGUAGCGGUGCACUGCGUCGAUAUCAGGAAGAAC